Molecule: ribosomal RNA, 523 nt
Filed under: uncultured bacterium
Lineage: Bacteria
Description: partial 16S ribosomal RNA
Rfam family: Bacterial small subunit ribosomal RNA
Source: RNAcentral
UGGGGAAUAUUGCGCAAUGGGCGAAAGCCUGACGCAGCGACGCCGCGUGGGGGAUGACGGCCUUCGGGUUGUAAACCUCUUUCAGCAGGGACGAAGCCGCAAGGUGACGGUACCUGCAGAAGAAGCACCGGCCAACUACGUGCCAGCAGCCGCGGUAAUACGUAGGGUGCAAGCGUUGUCCGGAAUUAUUGGGCGUAAAGAGCUCGUAGGCGGUUCGUCGCGUCGGCUGUGAAAACCUGAGGCUCAACCUCAGGCCUGCAGUCGAUACGGGCGGACUUGAGUACUGCAGGGGAGACUGGAAUUCCUGGUGUAGCGGUGAAAUGCGCAGAUAUCAGGAGGAACACCGGUGGCGAAGGCGGGUCUCUGGGCAGUAACUGACGCUGAGGAGCGAAAGCGUGGGGAGCGAACAGGAUUAGAUACCCUGGUAGUCCACGCCGUAAACGUUGGGCGCUAGGUGUGGGGGCCAUUCCACGGUCUCCGUGCGCAGCUAACGCAUUAAGCGCCCCGCCUGGGGAGUACGGCC